RNAcentral lists this ribosomal RNA (253 nucleotides) under uncultured bacterium. Its description in RNAcentral is "partial 16S ribosomal RNA". It matches the Rfam family "Bacterial small subunit ribosomal RNA", at positions 524 to 776 of the family's 1533-position model. The record is from RNAcentral.
UACGAAGGGGGCUAGCGUUGCUCGGAAUCACUGGGCGUAAAGGGUGCGUAGGCGGGUCUUUAAGUCAGGGGUGAAAUCCUGGAGCUCAACUCCAGAACUGCCUUUGAUACUGAAGAUCUUGAGUCCGGGAGAGGUGAGUGGAACUGCGAGUGUGGAGGUGAAAUUCGUAGAUAUUCGCAAGAACACCAGUGGCGAAGGCGGCUCACUGGCCCGGUACUGACGCUGAGGCACGAAAGCGUGGGGAGCAAACAGG